Homo sapiens (human) is the source of this 4336-nucleotide long non-coding RNA. RefSeq lists it as uncharacterized. The transcript has 2 exons. The record is from RefSeq and is a predicted model, not a curated record. Lineage: Eukaryota; Metazoa; Chordata; Mammalia; Primates; Hominidae.
UCGAACUUUUGGCCUUAGGUGAUCUCCCUCGGCCUCCAAAGUGCUGAGAUUACAGGUGUGAGCCACCCUGCCCGGCAGGACCUACAUUCUUAAUGAGCAUCUCUAUUGAUUUUGAGGCAGGUGGUCCAGAGAGUCAUUUUAAAAAGAUCAAUUUAGUAAUCAGAAGAGAUGAUAAAGACUCAUCUAUUUCAAAAUUGAAACAGUAUAAGGAGGUGUCUAGUGGGAGCUUCCCCUACCCUGCCCUUUCCAUCCACCUCCCUGCCCCCCAGUUAAUCACUGUUCUUAGGUGCCCUCAAAGAGCAGAGGGAGACCUUUGUGCCUGGCUGCCUUUUUUUUUUUUUUUUUAAAUACAAAAGGUAGCAUUGUACAUGCUUCUGGACUUGCUUUUUCCCUUAGUGUACCUUGGGGAAUUUGCCUUGAUAUAUGGAGAGAUGCAGCUGCUUUGUUUCAUGUUUUGCUUUUUUUUUUGGACAGUUGGACAUGCGUGUCCCAAGUGUGUUUAUUUAGCCGUUCUUUAUUGUGAUGACUGGGGUUGUUUCCAGCCUUUGGCUCAUUAUAAGGAAUGCUGCAGUGAAAUAGCCGUGUCUGUCUCGUUUGAUGUGUGCACAGGUAGACCUGUGUGACGAGUGCUUAGAUGCAGGAUUGCCGAGGCACAGGGAAAAUAAGUUUGUGGUUUUGCGAUGUUUCUAUUAGGCGAUGUCUGAGAGUGCCCCCAUGGCCUUGUGUUUUCAAACAUUUGGAUUUGUACCAGUCUGAGCAGUGGAAAAAUUCAGCACCUCGGGGUGUUUAACUUUCCUUUCUUUCUCUGUGGAUGAGUUUGACCCUCAAGGGCCAUGUGAGUUCCUAUUCUGAAGUGUCUAUAUUGUCUAUUUUUCUGUUGGGUAGUUGGUCUUUUUCUUAUUUAUGUAUUAGCUCUUUAUAGAUUAAGGAGCUUUGCCCUUUGUAAUCAGUGGGAAAUGUUUCUUUUUCCCACUUUGUCCUUUUGGGCCUCACUUUGAGAAACAGUCUUCUAGCUUAUCUAUGGGGUAAGGUUUCAGCAGACCCUCUAGAGAGCCCUAAAAUCAUGCCGUCCAAGAAAACUUCCGGCCAUUGUGGAAAUGCCCUUUAUCUGCACUGUCCAGUAGGCACCUGUGCCAAUUGCCUGUGCCGAUUGCCUGUGCUGACUGCUUGUGCCGAUUGAGCAUUUGAAAUACAGCCACCAAGGAAUGGAUUUUUUCUAGUUUAUUUUAAUUGAUUUAAAGAGCCACAUAUGGCUAGUGGCUACCUUCUUGGACAGUACAGCUCAGGAACCCACAAUAUCAUGAGACUUGUUACUAUAAUCUAUACUAUAAUUAUUGUUGCACAUCCUCCCAAGGUAAAAAAUAUACUUGCCCCACUGAGGGGAACAAAAUUACCAUCUCAAGCCAGCUGAGGUGCUACUCAGUUGAAAACUAUGGACCAAAACAUGAAUGGCCAGUAAAAACAGAUCGAGACCAGUGGGUGUAUAGGUCCUGGGUGUUGAGCUGGGUUUUGAAGACUGGAUAGGAUUUGGCCACGGAGAUAGCAAGGAGAAAGUUCAGAAGGGACAGCAUAUGCAAAGACCUGGAGGUGAAAUAGCUCAUGCAUUCCAGAGACUACAGGGGGUUCUGUGUCACCAGAGAACCAAGGGGCCAGGAGUGUUGGAAGAGGGGAAGUGGAGGCGCUCGAAGCUGGAGAGCUCAGCCAAGGCCUUGGACUCCAGGUGGAGAUCCCCACAGGGCUUGGCAGGCACUUAGUAAAUUGCGGUUUGUCCCAGGGUAGUUACACGAUGCAGGGGAAUGAUAAAUAGGAGCGGCUGAUGCAGCAGUACCUGGCACAUCAGGUACUGACAAGGUGGAGCUGACAAGGUGUUUUAGUAGGCAGGAGAGAUGGUCUCGUUUCCAUUUUCACAAGACAACAUGCCCUUUCCUUUACCAAGAUUCUGUAGGCUGGAGAGCCCCACCUGCCUUUUCUUCUUGGUACCUGCUGCUGUUGCCAAAGAGAAAACUGCUGGAACGACUAAGAGACCAGCUGGAGAGACCCUCCUCCCUGUCCCCCACUUCACUGCAGACGUGUUUCACAUGGAGAAAAGUUGAAAGAAUAGUAUAAUGAAUGGACAUCCACGCGCCCCACUCCUAGACUCUGCAGUCCCGCAUUCACCGUGUCUGCUUCAUCUGGUUGUGUUUUAUGCUGAACUUGAACUUGUGUUCAUACUUAGUGACAUUCUUAGUGUUUCAGCAGGCAUCUCCUAAGAAUAAGGACUUUCUCCUACAGAAUCAUGAUGCUGUCACGCCUGAGAUGAUUAUAAUCUUUGUUUACUAGUAACUUCUCCUUAUCCAUGCCGUACUUGAAUUUCUUUAGUUACCUUUUGAAGGAUAUGCAACCUUUAGAACAUUGUUUUAAAACCAGUAUUCAUUCAAGGUACAUGUCUCUUUGACUUGUUUUAUUUAAUCUAGUUCAGCCCUUUGUCUUUUUUUUUCCUCCCCAAGACAUUGAUUUUUUAUUAAUUUAUUUAUUUUUUUGACAAGCCAGGCUAGUUGUCUUGUAGAAUGUCACACCUUCUGGGUGUGUCAUAUUAUUGCCUUUUGGUGUUGUUUACUUUUGUUCCCCAUGUUUGUAUUUCUUGUAAACUAGAAUUAGGCCAGGAACAGGGUUGGCAAACUAUGGCCCUGCCUUCCAUUUUUGUAAAUAAAGUUUUAUUGGAACAUGACCAUGUCCAUUUGUUCAUGAAUAGUCUGGCUGCUUUUGGCUUACUGUGGCUGGGUUAAGUAGUUGUGACAAAGACUGUCUUGCAAAGCCUAAAAAAUUUAAUAAUUGGCCCUUUUAAAAUUUUAAUUAAAAUUUUUUAAAUUUAAAACUUUUUUUUUAGAGACAAGUUCUUGCUCUCUUGCCCAGGCUGGAGUGCAGCGGUGCAAUCAUAGCUCACUGCAGUCUCAAACUCCUGAGCUUAAUCCAUCCUUACGCCUCAGGAUCCUGAGUAGCUGGGACUAAAGGUAUGCACCACCAUGCCUGGCGAAUUUUUAAAUUUUUUUGUGGAGACAGAGUCUUGCUAUGUUGUCCAGGCCGGUCUGGAACUCCUGGUCUCAAGCAAUCCUCCCUCCUCCACCUCCCAAAGUGCUGGGAUUAUAGGCACAAACCACCACACCCAGCUUUCUGGUCCUUGAUGGAAAAAGUUUGCAGACCCCUGGUCUUGGCAGGCAAGAAUACUUAAUAGUGCAUCAGGUGAGUAUGAUCUUUUUGUUGUUGUUUUGAUGGGGUCUCUGUUGCCCAGGCUGCAGUGCAGUGGCAGAAUCACGACUCACUGCAGCCUCAAUCUCCCGGAUUUAGGUGAUCCUCCCACCCCAGCCUCCCUAGUAGCUAGAACUACAGGCGCCUGCCACCACACCAGGCUAAUUUUUGUAUUUUUUGUAGAGAUGGGGUUUCACCAUGUUGCCCAGGCUGGUCUUGAACCCCUGGGCUCAAGUGAUCUGCCCAUCUUAACCUCCCAGAGUGCUAAGAUUACAGCCAUGAGCCACUGUGCCUGGCCAUCUGUGAUCUUUUUGACGUAAAUCUUUCUUUCUUUUUUUUUUAGACAGAGUUUCACUCUUGUUGCCCAGGCUGGAGUACAAUGGUGCAAUCUUGGUUCACUGCAACAUCUUCCUCCUGGGUUCAAGUGAUUCUCACGCCUCAGCCUCCUGAGUAGCUGGGAUUACAGGCACGCGCCACCAUGCCUAGCUCAUUUUGUAUUUUUAGUAGAGAUGGGGUUUCUCUCAUGUUGGUCAGGCUGGUCUCGAACUCCUGACCUCAGGUGAUCUGCCCGCCUCGGCCUCCCAAAAUGCUGGGAUUACAAGCGUGAGCCACCGUGCCUGGCCUUGAUGUAAAUCUUAUCAUGUAUUUUCUCUGCUUAGAACUCUGAAUGGCUUUCACUCCCACUCAGAGUAAACUCCAAGGUCCGUGCUGUGUCCUGCAGAGUCCUGUAUGAUCCAGCGACCUCUCCAGAAGCAUUUCCUACCACAAGCACCCUCACUUAGCCACGUGUCUCCUUGCUGUUCCUUAAACAUGCCUAGCACAUCUCUUGCCCGAGGGCCUCAGCGCUUGCUGUCGCGUUUGUCUAAGGCCUUCCUCCCUGAGAUGCCAUCACAGCUCUCCCCGACUCCACGAGGUCUCUGCCCCAGUGUUGCCACCCCAGUGCGUCCUGCCCUGCCUCCCUUCGCUGUCUUGCCCUUCCCCAGCUGUGCUUUUCUUCAUAGCACCUGUCCACCAAGUGGGACAUUUAUAUUUAUGUAUGUAUCUGGCACACAAAUGGGUGUUCAGUAAAUGUUUGUUGGAUAAAUAAAAAAUAAUUAAAUUCUCUGAGCUA